CAGUCGCCGCGGUAAUACGUAGGUGGCAAGCGUUGUCCGGAAUUAUUGGGCGUAAAGGGCUCGCAGGCGGUUUCUUAAGUCUGAUGUGAAAGCCCCCGGCUCAACCGGGGAGGGUCAUUGGAAACUGGGAAACUUGAGUGCAGAAGAGGAGAGUGGAAUUCCACGUGUAGCGGUGAAAUGCGUAGAGAUGUGGAGGAACACCAGUGGCGAAGGCGACUCUCUGGUCUGUAACUGACGCUGAGGAGCGAAAGCGUGGGGAGCGAACAGGAUUAGAUACCCGUGUAGUCCCUGUCUCUUAUAC
This 301-nucleotide ribosomal RNA is filed under the name uncultured bacterium. Its description in RNAcentral is "partial 16S ribosomal RNA". It matches the Rfam family "Bacterial small subunit ribosomal RNA", at positions 509 to 807 of the family's 1533-position model. The record is from RNAcentral.